GAGAACUAUGAUGAAGAUUCGUCAAGUCUUUGUCUUCGUUGCUCCGUUCUCUUGCUCCUAGAUUACGUGUCGAAAAAAAAAUCCCCAAUUGUGUGCUUGGCUUGGUCUUAUAUAUGGUGGAAAACUUGGGGAAGAAGGCAGUUUCCUUGUGUAAUUAAAAUUCCUUUACUGCGCCUCCUCGUGAUCUUGGACGACUGUGCCAAAUUUAG
RNAcentral lists this long non-coding RNA (209 nucleotides) under Erythranthe guttata (spotted monkey flower). RNAcentral's name for it is "long non-coding RNA (EGUT_LNC001251)". The record is from RNAcentral. Lineage: Eukaryota; Viridiplantae; Streptophyta; Magnoliopsida; Lamiales; Phrymaceae.